Molecule: ribosomal RNA, 496 nt
Filed under: uncultured bacterium
Lineage: Bacteria
Description: partial 16S ribosomal RNA
Rfam family: Bacterial small subunit ribosomal RNA
Source: RNAcentral
AUGAACGCUGGCGGCGUGCCUAAUACAUGCAAGUCGAGCGAACAGAUGAGGAGCUUGCUCCUCUGACGUUAGCGGCGGACGGGUGAGUAACACGUGGAUAACCUACCUAUAAGACUGGGAUAACUUCGGGAAACCGGAGCUAAUACCGGAUAAUAUAUUGAACCGCAUGGUUCAAUAGUGAAAGACGGUUUUGCUGUCACUUAUAGAUGGAUCCGCGCCGCAUUAGCUAGUUGGUAAGGUAACGGCCUACCAAGGCAACGAUGCGUAGCCGACCUGAGAGGGUGAUCGGCCACACUGGAACUGAGACACGGUCCAGACUCCUACGGGAGGCAGCAGUAGGGAAUCUUCCGCAAUGGGCGAAAGCCUGACGGAGCAACGCCGCGUGAGUGAUGAAGGUCUUCGGAUCGUAAAACUCUGUUAUUAGGGAAGAACAAAUGUGUAAGUAACUAUGCACGUCUUGACGGUACCUAAUCAGAAAGCCACGGCUAACUACGUG